GAUGAACGCUAGCGACAGGCUUAACACAUGCAAGUCGAGGGGCAGCGGGGGUAGCAAUACCCGCCGGCGACCGGCGCACGGGUGAGUAACGCGUAUGCAACUUACCUAUCAGAGGGGGAUAACCCCGGGCGAAAGUCGGACUAAAUACCGCAAUGAAAGCAGGGAUCCCGCAUGGGAAUAUUUGCUAAAGAUUCAUCGCUGAUAGAUAGGCAUGCGUUCCAUUAGGCAGUUGGCGGGGUAACGCCCACAAACCG
Molecule: ribosomal RNA, 254 nt
Filed under: uncultured bacterium
Lineage: Bacteria
Description: partial 16S ribosomal RNA
Rfam family: Bacterial small subunit ribosomal RNA
Source: RNAcentral